Molecule: ribosomal RNA, 472 nt
Filed under: uncultured bacterium
Lineage: Bacteria
Description: partial 16S ribosomal RNA
Rfam family: Bacterial small subunit ribosomal RNA
Source: RNAcentral
GACGAACGCUGGCGGCGUGCUUAACACAUGCAAGUCGAACGCUGAAGCUUGGGGCUUGCACUGGGUGGAUGAGUGGCGAACGGGUGAGUAAUACGUGAGUAACCUGCCCUUGACUCUGGGAUAAGCCUGGGAAACUGGGUCUAAUACUGGAUACGACAUGUCACCGCAGGGUGGUGUGUGGAAAGGGUUUUACUGGUUUUGGAUUGGCUCACGGCCAAUCAGCUAGUUGGUGGGGUAAUGGCUCACCAAGGCGACGACGGAUAGCCGGCCUGAGAAGGUGACCAGCGUCACUGCGACUACGAGACGGCGCAGACUGGUACGGGAGGCAACGGGGGGAAGUAUUGCGCAGUGAGCCGGAGCCUGAGACGAAGGCGCCGGGUGAGGAAAGACGGCCUUCGGGUUAAGAACCUCUUUCAGCGCGGAAAAAGCGGUAGUGACGGUACGUGAAGAAGAAGCGCCGGCUAACUACGUG